CUGGAAUGGAUCAUGGCCUAAAUCUACAUGGCCCCUGGAUUGGACUGCGGCCGAUCAGGCUGUUGGUGAGGUAAUGGCCCACCAAACCUAUAACAGGUACGGGCUCUGAGAGGAGAAGCCCGGAGAUGGGUACUGAGACACGGACCCAGGCCCUAUGGGGCGCAGCAGGCGAGAAACCUUAGCAAUGUGCGAAAGCACGACUGGGUCAGUCCGAGUGAUUCCUGAUAAAGGAGUCUUUUAUCUGUCCUAAAAGCACAGGUGAAUAAGGGGUGGGCAAGUCUGGUGUCAGCCGCCGCGGUAAUACCAGCACCUCGAGUGGUCAGGACGUUUAUUGGGCCUAAAGCAUCCGUAGCCGGCUUUGCAAGUCUUCGGUUAAAUCCACCUGCUCAACAGAUGGGCUGCUGGAGAUACUACAAAGCUAGGGAGUGGGAGAGGCAGACGGUAUUCAGUGGGUAGGGGUAAAAUCCUCUGAUCCAUCGAGGACCACCAGUGGCGAAGGCGGUCUGCCAGAACACGUUCGACGGUGAGGGAUGAAAGCUGGGGGAGCAAACCGGAUUAGAUACCCGGGUAGUCCCAGCUGUAAACGAUGCAAACUCGGUGAUGCAUUGGCUUAUGGCCAAUGCAGUGCCGCAGGGAAGCCGUUAAGUUUGCCGCCUGGGAAGUACGGACGCAAGUCUGAAACUUAAAGGAAUUGGCGGGGGAGCACCACAAGGGGUGAAGCCUGCGGUUCAAUUGGACUCAACGCCGGU
This 749-nucleotide ribosomal RNA is filed under the name uncultured archaeon. Its description in RNAcentral is "bacterial SSU rRNA". It matches the Rfam family "Archaeal small subunit ribosomal RNA", at positions 170 to 922 of the family's 1478-position model. The record is from RNAcentral.